CCUACGGGGGGCAGCAGUAGGGAAUCUUCCACAAUGGGCGAAAGCCUGAUGGAGCAACGCCGCGUGGGUGAAGAAGGUCUUCGGAUCGUAAAACCCUGUUGUUAGAGAAGAAAGUGCGUGAGAGUAACUGUUCACGUUUCGACGGUAUCUAACCAGAAAGCCACGGCUAACUACGUGCCAGCAGCCGCGGUAAUACGUAGGUGGCAAGCGUUAUCCGGAUUUAUUGGGUUUAAAGGGUGCGCAGGCGGUCUGUUAAGUCAGCGGUCAAAGCCCGGGGCUCAACCCCGGCCCGCCGUUGAAACUGG
RNAcentral lists this ribosomal RNA (305 nucleotides) under uncultured bacterium. Its description in RNAcentral is "bacterial SSU rRNA". It matches the Rfam family "Bacterial small subunit ribosomal RNA", at positions 338 to 636 of the family's 1533-position model. The record is from RNAcentral.